RNAcentral lists this ribosomal RNA (1403 nucleotides) under Candidatus Woesebacteria bacterium. RNAcentral describes it as "partial 23S ribosomal RNA". It matches the Rfam family "Bacterial large subunit ribosomal RNA", at positions 738 to 1860 of the family's 2925-position model. The record is from RNAcentral. Lineage: Bacteria; Candidatus Woeseibacteriota.
GGCCAGGUUGAAGUUUGUCGAAAGACAAAUGGAGGACCGAACCCGUAGAUUGUGCAAAAUCUUGGGAUGAGCUGUGGUUGGCGGAGAAAUUCCAAUCGAACUCGGCAAUAGCUGGUUCUCCUCGAAAUAGCUUUUGGGCUAGCCUCGAGUGUUGAUCGUAGGGGGUAGAGCACUGAAUGAGGAUGGGUUUACUGUCCUUAACCAAACUCCGAAUACCUACGAAUAUAACUCGGGAGUCAGACUAUGGGCGCUAAGGUCCAUUAGUCAAAAGGGAAACAGCCCUGAUCGCAAGCUAAGGUCCCUAAAGAUAUGUUAAGUGUCAAAGGUGGUGUCGUGACCUCGACAACUAGGAGGUUGGCUUAGAAGCAGCCAUCCUUUAAAGAUAGCGUAACAGCUCACUAGUCAAGUCGUUUCGCGCCGAAAAUUUAUCGGGGCUCAAACAUAUUACCGAAGCUGCGGGUGUUCGGAUUUCAGAUAUCGGAUGUCAGACGUCGGAUUGUCGUUUUACUAAUAUUAUAGAUUAUAGCAACUUCCAAGAUUAGAGUUGUUGUAGAUUUAGCAGAACGCAAAUCCGAAUUCCGAAUUCCGAUAUCCGAAAUCCGAACACGGUAGAGGAGCAUUCCAUUCGGCUGUGAAGUCAAGUUGUGAAGCGAGAUGGAGCGUAUGGAAGAGAGAAUGUUGGCCUAAGUAGCAAAAAGGCGGGUGACAACCCCGCCCACCGAAAAUCUCAGGUUUCCUGGGCAACGAAAAUCGUCCCAGGGUUAGUCGGUCCUAAGGCGAGGUCCGUGUAGUGCGGACGUAGUCGAUGGAAGAGCUGGUUAAUAUUCCAGCACUGCUUCAGUUUUCCGAUGGGGAGACGAAGUUUCAAGGUUAGAGCGUGUCUAUGGUAUGCACGUUGCCGAUUGUGGUCUAUUGUUCAGGUAAAUCCGGACAGUGUUAAAGACUGUGGUCGUCAAGAGAUAAAACCUUCGGGUGGAAUCGAUUCUAGCGGAGAAGUUUCCCAGAAAAACCUCUAGGGCUAAGGCUGAAGCAACCGUACCGCAAACCGACACAGGUAGAUGAGGCGAGGAGCCUCAGGUGAACGAGAGAACCUUCGUUAAGGAACUAGGCAAACAAGCGGGCGUAAGUUAGCGAUAAGCCCUCCCGAGGCCGGAUAUCGGAUGUCAGAUAUCGGAUUUCGGACGUCGGAUUUCGGAUUGUUUUUUGCAGAGUUUAGUAAAAUGUUCAGCAAUGAAUUUUUUUAUUAAGUUUGUACAAGAAAUAAAUCUGAUAUCCGAUAUCUGAAUUCCGACUUCUGGUUUCUGCUAUCCGGCCCCGGGCGCAGCGAAAGACUUUCAAGUGACUGUUUAACAAAAACACAGCUCCCUGCUAACUCGAAAGAGGAUGUAUAGGGGGUGAUGCCU